UACGUAUGGUGCAAGCGUUAUCCGGAUUUACUGGGUGUAAAGGGAGCGCAGGCGGAAGGCUAAGUCUGAUGUGAAAGCCCGGGGCUCAACCCCGGUACUGCAUUGGAAACUGGUCAUCUAGAGUGUCGGAGGGGUAAGUGGAAUUCCUAGUGUAGCGGUGAAAUGCGUAGAUAUUAGGAGGAACACCGGUGGCGAAGGCGGCUUACUGGACGAUAACUGACGCUGAGGCUCGAAAGCGUGGGGAGCAAACAGG
Molecule: ribosomal RNA, 253 nt
Filed under: Roseburia inulinivorans DSM 16841
Lineage: Bacteria; Bacillati; Bacillota; Clostridia; Lachnospirales; Lachnospiraceae
Description: partial 16S ribosomal RNA
Rfam family: Bacterial small subunit ribosomal RNA
Source: RNAcentral